ACUAGGGAAAGGGUGUGGGGAGGUGUGCUGCUCCCUGGGCUGCACAAGACAGCAAAGCAGGGGGAACAGAGUGGCACUCACCCCAGCUCCUGGAGUGGCUGGCGGAAGCUGCCUGGCUGCACCAUGCUCCACCUGUUCCCACUCACCUCUGCUCCUGUGCUCCGCCGUACCCUGGUGCAGGCAGCUUCUGUUGGCUGCUCCCAAGGCCCCUCCAGCAUGGGCUGGGGUGAGUGCGGGCAAGCAGAGCCCUGGGUCAUGUGGGACAUGGCACUCACCCUGGUCCCUGCUGCAGCAGCCCCAGGAGCAGCUGCCACCAGCUGCCUGUAGCUGCUGGGAUGCACCAUUCCUCGAACCUCCUGGGGCUCUGCCUGUCCCUACUCACCCCAGUCCCUGCUGCAGCAGCCCUGGGAGCGGCCGGUGCUAGCUGCCUGCAGCAGGGCAUGGUGCAACCAGGGAACAGAGGUGAGUGGGGACAGGUGGAGCACGGUGCAGCCCAGUGGCUGCAGACAGCUGGUGCCAGCUGCCCCCGGGGCUGCUGCAGGUGGGGCUGGGGUGAGUGGGGCCAUGGCCCUUUCCCCUCCCCUCACAGGCUUGUCUGCUUGGGCAGGGGAAGCGCCUAUGUGGAUUGUAUAAGAGUGAAUUUACCUUGCAUAUAACGAAUUAUGGGCUUAAAUAUGCUCAUCGCAUAAGAGCAGAUUCGUAUAUAAAGAACUCGUUUAAAUCGAGGGAAACCUGCACACUUCUCUGUCAGCUGGCAAGGUGACACAGAGCUGGCUGGUUCCCUGAAGGAAGACUAGAUGUCUUUCAGUCUUUAAACACUAUCAAGGAUUGGAGAGGAAGCAGCUUGUUUUUUCUCUUUUCAAGAUGAUGAUAUUUAUAAUCCUUUAGUCAUGUAGCCACCAAUUAGGUAAGUUUUUGUUUUUUAUCAAUAGGUUUCUGUUUUUGAUGAACAUACUGCUUUGUUUCUUCCUCUAUCCAUAGUCGUCUUCUCAGUACCAGGGUUCUCCUGCUUCAGAUAUGGGUGAGAUCUGUGCUAAUAGUCUAUUUUGUCAGAGCCGUCACUCGGGAACCAGCAGCGGGAAGGAGAGGAGCCAGGUACAUGUGUGUCCCGCAUGCACGUGUGCCCCUUUACCAACUUUACCAACUGACUGACUGGAGGCAGCAGCAGCAGCAGCAGAGGAAUCGGCAGCAGGGGCAGCAAUGGCUGAUCCCCCAAAGGCACCUAAGGAAGAAGCAUCCCGGGCAGUGCCCUCCACAGCAGAGUGGCAGAUGGUCACAUCUAGGACUGGAGAUGGUCGCAGCGAACUGAUACCAGUUCCUCCAGUCUGACUGGACAACAGGUCAAGAGAUCCAAGUGGACCCAGAGGAGCAGGCGACGAGUGCUUUUCACAGGCUACUCCAUUCUGAGAGGAACGGAAGGGCCCAUCUGUCACAAGGACCCCUCAACACGAGAGUGAACGGACGUGGAAGACUGCAUGAGAAUGGCAUCAGAGAGACCAAUCAGUGGCUUUGGCAGUGGUGUCUCGAGGCAGGCUUCGGCUUCCUGGCAACAACUCGCACAUUACGACGAGGGACAUGCUCAGUUGGGAUGGGCUUCACCUGUCCCCCAAAGCAGAUGCAUGACGAACAGAUCCAAGGAGGUGAUACUUCCCCUCUAUCGGGCGCUGGUCAGACCUCAGUUGGAGUACUGUGUGCAAUUUUGGGCGCCACACUUCAAGAGGGAUGCGGAUAACCUGGAGAGGGACGAGAGAAGGGCAACUCAUAUGGUCAAGGGCCUGCAGACCAAGCCCUACGAGGAGAGACUAGAGAAUCUGGACCUUUUCAGCCUCCAGAGAAGAAGGUUGAGAGGCGACCUUGUUUGCUGCCUAUAAGUUCAUCAUGGGGGCACAGAAGGGAAUUGUCCUGUAUGAUUGGACAAGGGCAAAUCUAGCACCAAUCCUUAAGAAAUGGAGAAGGACGGUUCAGGGAAAUACAGACCAGUCAGCCUCACCUCAGUCCCUGGAAAAACCAUGGAGCAGGUCUUCAAGGAAUCCACUGUGAAGAACUUGGAGGAUAAGGGGAUUAUUGGGAGAAGUCAGCACGGAUUCAUCAAGGGCAAGUCAUGCCUAACCAACCUGGCUGCCUUCUAUGAUAAGACGGCUGGCUCUGUGGAUGCAGGGGAAGCAGUGGACGGCAUAUCCCUUGAUUUUAGGGUUUUUUUUUAUCUCCCUGCCUGCCAUCUGACACCUCCAGGGAAGGAAUUUGACCUGAUCAAUGCAUCAAAGAGCUACUCAACACAGCUCACAAAGACACUCUCAUGGACCCAGAGGGACAGCCUUCCUGCUUCAGCUACCUCUGUGCAAAAAUGAAGUUUAUUUCCUACCUUUGGGGACUUUUUACCAUCUUGUACCAUCUACAAUUUUCCCAGACUAUGACAAAGGGACUUUGAUCCUGAAAGCUUGCAGAAAAGGACAUUUUUCUUCCAUUUUCCAGUUGGUCUAAUAAAAGGUAUCAUUUUGGAACCAAGAGUUCUAGUUUUUUGAAUAUUGAUUUUAGCAAGGCUUUUCAUACAGGCUCUCACAGCAUUCUUGCAAGUAAGCUAAGGAAGUCUGGCUUGGAUGACCGAACUGUAAGGUGGACAGAUAGCUGGCUGGAUCAUCAGACUCAACAGGUAGUGAUCAAUAGCUCAAGGUCUAGUUGGCAGCCAGUAUUAAGUGGAGUGCCCUAGGGGUUGGUUCUGGGGCAGGUUUUGUUCAGUAUCUUCAUUAACAAUCUGGAAGAAAGGAUGGAGGGCACCCUAAGCAAGUUCACGGAUGGCACCAAGCUGGGGGAAGUAAUAGCUACACAAUGGGGUGAGGCUAGGAUUCAGAGUGAACUAGACAAAUGGGAGGAUUGGGCCAAAAGAAAUCAUAUGAGGUCCAACAAGGACACGUGCAAAGUCCUGUAGUUAGGAUGGAGCAAUCCCAGGCACCGCUACAGGCUUGAAACCAACCAGUUAAAAAGCAGCUCUGCAGGAAAGGACCUGGGCUUACAGUGGACAAGAAGCUGGAUAGGAGUCAGCAGUGUGCCCUUGCUCCCAAGAAGCCUAAUGCCAUCCUGGACUGCAUUGGGAGGAGCCUUGCCAGGAAACAGACAGAAGGAAUUAUUGCCCUUUUCUCCAUUGGUGAGUACUCAUCUGGAGUACUGGGUCCAGUUUUCGGACCCCAACUUCAGAAAGGAUGUGGGCAAGUUGGAGAUAGCCAACAGAGGGCAGUGAAAGCACAGAGUGGGAUGAGGGACAUGUUUGGGAGAAGAGGCUCAGGGAACUGGACUUAAAUAGUCUGGAGAAACGAAGACGGGGGUGUGGAUUUGAUAGCAGCCUUUAGUUAACUGCAGGGUGAGCCCAAAGAUUCAUGGACUAUAAGGCUGGAAGGGACCUCGGACGAUCCCAAGCAGGAAAGAUAACUGGGGUCAGGUGACUCCAGCUAGGUGAUCGUCCAUUUUCCUAUUGAAGAUUUGCAGGGUCAGUGAUUGCACCAGCUCUGGAGGGAGCUUCUUCCACAGUCUGGACACUCUAACUGUAAAGAAGUUUUUCCUACUGUUGAGCCCAAAACGGUCUUCCUGGAGCUUGUGACCAUUACUCCUGGUGCUCCCCCGAGGGUGCUGUGAUGAACAGUUUUUCACCGAGCUCUUGCUGUACUCCCCUGAUGUAGUGGUAAGCUGCUACCAGGUCCCCUUUCAGCCUUCUCUUUUUCAUGCUGAAGAGUCCCAGGUCCCUCAGCCUUUCCUCGUAUGGCUUGCUGUGCAAGUCUCUGAUCAUGUGGAUGGCUCUUCUCUGGACUCUCUCAAGAUUUACCAUGUCCCUGUUGAAGCGCGGUGCCCAGAACUGGAUGCAGUACUUCAUCUGCGGUCUCACCAAGGCUGAGCAGAGCAGAAGAAUCACCUCCUUGGUUUUGCUGGAGAUGCAUCGAUUGAUGCAUGUCAGAGUAUUAUUUGCUCUGCUGGCUAUAGUUCUGGGUUGGAUGUGGAGAAGCUUGAGAGAGUCCAGAAAAGAGCCACUUACAUUAUUAGAGACCUGAAGAGCAAGCCAUACAAGGAAAGGCUGACAGAUAUGGGAUUGUUCAGCCUAGAAAAGAGACGAUUUGGGGAGAUUUGUGGCAGCUUACAAAUAUAUCAGGGGCUAGGCGAACAACUAUUCACGUAAGUGUCCCAGGAGAAAACCAGGAGCAAUGGUCACUAACUCCUAGAAGAAGGUUUCUGACUGGAUAUGAGGAAAUACUUCUUUACGGUUCGUGUGCCCGGACUCUGGAAUAAACUGCCAGUGGGUGUGGUGCAGGCACCUACCCUGGGGGUCUUCAGAAGAAGAGUGGAUGCACACCUUGCAGGGGUUAUUUUAUCUCAGCACUAUACCUGCCCAGAGCAGGGUGGUUGCACCCGAGCAUCUUUUGUGGUUCCUUCCAGCCUUUCAUUUCUGUGACUCUUAAAGUAGGCAGAAAGACACAUUUCAGAGCAUGUGAAAUUCCCGAGUGUACAAAUGAUCUGUAUGGUCUUCCUUUAGCUCAAGAAGGCAUUUGAGCACUUCCCUAAGGAAAUUCUCUGGGGGAAAUAGAGGAAAAAGAAAGCAAGAGAAAAGCAAACUGACCUUUUGAAACGUAAGUACCUCAAUCCUGUGCACAAGUUAGAACAAGCCCCUGUACUAGAGAUCCUCUGGAAAUGAAAAUUGGUUUUCACUAGGCCCCAUUCCUAACCUACUUCUUAUCACAGUGAUGGGCGUUUGAUCUGCAGAGGGAUUUGAGGAGGACAAGAAACCUUGUGAGAAUAGCAGAGUGAGCUGAAGAGCCCAGGUCUUAAUGUUAAAAGAACAAAGCAACCAAAUUCUCUGGUCUUUGGAGAUGAAGAUGUUGGGAAGAUGUGGACAGAAGCGUCCAGUUACCCUGGUAGAGGUAUCUGGGUUACAUCACGUGUGCAUACGUCACUAAAGGCACAGUUAAGGAAAUGCAUCGUCCCUGUGUUGUAGCAGCAGAGGCUGACAAGAUUUCAAUUAACUUCUGCUGGGUCAUAUCGGGAACUGUGAGAGAAUCCAUCUAGGUGCUUAGGAUCAACAGACUAUUGGAAAGAUAGCCGGAAGGGUCCUCACACGGUCAUCUAGUCCAGCCCCCUGCUUAAGGUGGCACCAGCCCUCACUACACCAUCCCAGACACCUCUAUGCAGCCUGCUCCUGGGACUUGCCAGACACUCCCCCACGUGUCUAGGGCCUGUUCCAGCACUCAGCCCUGCUUGGAGUCACAAAGCUCCUCCUUCAUGUCCAACCUCCAAUUCCCCUGCUGUAGCUUGGGACCAUUGUUCCUCGCCCUGUCCUCUGCAGCCACAGAGAAAAGCCCAUCUCCCGCCUCUCUGCCAUUGCCCUGCAGGGCUUUGCAGACUGGUCAAAUCCCCACUCAGUUUUCUCCUCUCCAGACUCAAUCCCCCCAGCUCUUCCAGCCUGUGUUCAGCUGUCUUGCCUCCCAGGCCCUGAUCAUUUUUGUUGCUCUGCACUGGGCUCUUCCCAAUCUGUCCACAUCCUCCUGGCAGUGUGGGGCCCAGACCUGGGCAGUCUCCAGUGUGGGAUGGAGCAGGAGAACCACCGCCCUGCCCUUGGCAGGGACUUUCCUGUUGAGACAGCCCUGGAGACUGUUGGUUUGUCUGCAACAACUGCACUGGUGUACCUGGGUUCUCAGGCUAAGAGCACAGAUCUUUGUGCCAAAAACCUUGCUUCCUGCCCCAGCCAACUACCAGCUGGCAGAAAAGGGAUCAUAAAAAAGUCUUGGAUUCUCCUGCAUAUUGUGGCAGGACUCGGCAAGUAGCACUGUUAUUCACCAUACUGUGAUGUUACAGGGUUGGAGAGACCUCAAGCAUCUAAUCCAGGCCUCUGCAUGGAGGCAGCAGGACACUCUUCCUAAGCCACUACACACAGCCCCCAUCCAACCUCUGCUUGGAAACCUCCAGGGAAGCAGGGUCUGCAGCUCCCUGGGGCAGCUGGUCCUGUUGCCCUACUGCUCUGACACUAAGAUUGAUUUUUCCCCUGCGAUUUUCUCACCAUCUGUUUUGCUGCACUUCAAACCCCUGGUUGCAUGUUCUACUGUCUGGGAAUGACUGUCACAGGAACAUGAAGAUUUCCAGAAUCUCUCCCAGAUCCAUUCACACUGGCUGUCAGGAGUGAAUGGUGCAGGCCAGUCAAAGCUGAUCUUCCUUUGUGUCGGGUGUACAGUCAGGUGUCUGGAUUUAGCCCAAACGUGCAUAAGUCAGGUGAAGACGUGGGCGCAUACUAGCGGUGCUGGCUGCAGUGGUUUGGAUGGCGCAGGGGCAACAUGCAGGGGUGGAUGCUGCAAGCUCCCUGAGGGCAGGGAAUGUCCCAUGGCUGCAGCACUUGCAGGUUGGCCUUGACCAGCGUGAGCUGGUCCGGUGCCAGGACAGCACUGGGCCAUGUGCCCUCUUCCCUGUGCUCUGAACCUCCAUUCACAAAAGAAAAACAGAAAAGGACAUUUCCUGCUCCCACUUUGUUCCCCUCCAUCUCUGUCUCUGGGUACCCUUAGGGACUAUUUAGAACAGCUGGAUAUAUACAAGUCUGUGGGGCUGGACUGGAUGCACCCGAGGGUGCUGAGGGAGUUUGCUGAUGAGAUGGUAGAGCCACUGACCAUCAUCUAUGAAAACACAUGGGGAUCAGGAGAGGUCCUGGAUGAUUGGAAAAGGGCAAACAUAGUGCCCAUAUUUAAGAAUAGGAAAAAGCAGGAUCCAGGGAACUAAACAUGGGUCGUUCUCACCUCAGUCCCUGGAAAAAAUUAUGGAGCAGAUCCUCCAGGUAUCCAUUUCUAAGCACUCAGAGGAGGAGAAGGGGAUCACGAAGAGUCAGCGUGGAUUCACCAAGUGCCAGCCAUGCCUGACCAACCUGAUUGCCUUGUAUGCUGAGAUGACUGGCCCUGUGGAUGUGGGGUAACUUGAUUUUAGCAAGUCUUUUGCUAUGGUCUCCCACAACAUUCUUGCAGGCAAACUAAGGAAGUCUGGGUUGGAUGAAUGGACUGUAAGGUGGAUAGGAAACUGGAUGUAUCACCAGGCUCAGAGGAUAGUAAUCAAUGGAUUGAUGUAUAGUAAGCAGCUAGCAUCAGGUGGAGUGCCCCAGGGAUCAGUUUUGUUUCAUAUCUUCAUCAGUGUCCUGAAAACAGCAUGGAGUGAUCCCUUGUAGCAAAAAGCCCCCUUUUCCUCUUGCCUGCAUUGGCUGUCUCCUCCUUGGAUAAGUUUCUCUUCUUCUUCCUUUUCUUCCUUCCUCUUUCAUUCACUUUAAGAUUAAGAAUUGUGUUUUAAAACUGGAUGCGUGCAUUUUGUAUCUCCCCUUGUAUUUUGGUAUUGUUAUCUAUUUGUGUGUCAUGGCAUUACUCUUCUAGCUUAUACUUUAUACUCCUUACCUUUCAACGUUCAACUAAAUGUGUUUAGUUUCAGAAGUAAGUUAUACAUUGUAACAAUGUUAACAAGAGCAGGAAUCAAACUGCCAGUUCCCUGUAUCAGGCGGGACCCUGAAAGAGCGAGUGAAUCAGUGAUUGAAUGCAUAACACAGUAGCAGGUAGCCAUUAACACCUGGGAAACCGCAGAUGAACCGAGGGGAAGAAAUCAAUAGGAGACAAUGUAUCAACCGGAAAUCUCUAAACAUCACUGAUCAAGAGCUAGAACCCCUGGCCUGAGUUAAUCAAUGCCAGGGAUCAACAUUUGGGCUGAAUAUUUCCAGAUUGACUGCUGUCAGAGCCCUAUUCAAAAUUCAUCAACGGACUUCCAAACCUGGGCAUAUAUGCAGAUGACCCCUGGGGCUAACAGAUGCCAUCCAGUAGCCACCGAGGGUGGAAGUCCCACAAGGGUCAACGACACCUGGAUUGAGAAAACCUGAAAACUGGGGAGUCACCAAAGUCUGCCAAGGACAGAUAAACAGCAGUUAAAACUGACCUUCAGUGGCACCAUCUUCAUCUCCAACUUGACCAGCACCUCACUUGUCCAGCCAGGAGGAGCAGCCGGCAACCCCCUUCUGGAGGAUAACACCACGCUGAAAGAAGCCUCGACUGGCCAUCGACGGCAGACUCCAGCACUUGUAGGAUAGGUAUACCUGACUCUUGUAGCUUGCUACUGUGUCUGUGCAUGUGUGUGUGUGUGUUUGUGUGUGGGGACCAGCCCCAAGGUUUAUGAUUUAACUUCAUUAGUGUUUCAAUCCGCCUAAUAAACCAGAAUUUUAAGGA
Molecule: long non-coding RNA, 8213 nt
Organism: Alligator mississippiensis (American alligator)
Lineage: Eukaryota; Metazoa; Chordata; Crocodylia; Alligatoridae
Exons: 6
Source: RefSeq, a predicted model, not a curated record